Molecule: ribosomal RNA, 407 nt
Filed under: uncultured bacterium
Lineage: Bacteria
Description: bacterial SSU rRNA
Rfam family: Bacterial small subunit ribosomal RNA
Source: RNAcentral
UGGGGAAUAUUGCACAGUGGGCGCAAGCCUGAUGCAGCGACGCCGCGUGAGGGAUGACGGCCUUCGGGUUGUAAACCUCUUUCAAUAGGGACGAAGCGCAAGUGACGGUACCUAUAGAAGAAGGACCGGCCAACUACGUGCCAGCAGCCGCGGUAAUACGUAGGGUCCGAGCGUUGUCUGGAAUUACUGGGCGUAAAGAGCUCGUAGGUGGUUUGUCGCGUUGUUCGUGAAAACUCACAGCUUAACUGUGGGCGUGCGGGCGAUACGGGCAGACUAGAGUACUGCAGGGGAGACUGGAAUUCCUGGUGUAGCGGUGGAAUGCGCAGAUAUCAGGAGGAACACCGGUGGCGAAGGCGGGUCUCUGGGCAGUAACUGACGCUGAGGAGCGAAAGCGUGGGGAGCGAACA